UUUAGCUUAUAUUAAAAGAUAUUUAGCUAAGGUUUGGAUAUUUUUCUUUUAGUCCAAUUUUAAGACCCAAAUAUGAAGCCCAAGACCCUUUAACCUAUCAGCUCUUUUUAAUUUAAUCCUAGUCAUUCACUCCCUUUCAUCCAAUGGUCAAAACUAAACUCCACCCACAUAUCUACCUAAUUACAACCUAAAACCUAACCCUAGAGAACACCCAUCUAACCUAGAGCAGCCGCCCUCCACUCCCCUUCAUCAAAAUCGCCGUCGUCGCUCCCUUCCCCAUAUCCAUCUUCAAACUUGAACACACCCUAGCUGAAACCUAAUUGGAUACACCCAAAAAGACUCCAAGCCAUCAGCAGCCUGGACACCACCCAAUCUCCCAACGAAAAUGACGGGAUCUCCAAAAGCUUCAGUGGUUCUUGCUUCUUCAUCUUCGACCUCCAGUACAACAGCGACCCUGAGCUUCAGCCGUCGACCACUUUUGUGCACGCCUCUUUUCUGAUCUCUUACAAGAAAAGCAACCAUGAACACUAGAGAAACCUAAGACUCGAACCUCCAAAAACCGGCAGCAAAUCCUGCGACAAACCAACACAACCGCCCUUUACCUCACUAGAACCGCCGCCCACUAGCUGCUCACUACCACCGUCCACAAUACCAGCGACCCCUUUCUAUAAAACUCUUCACCCUUACACUAAAAACUAGUCGUUCCUCACCAUUCACGCAUACACAAAGCAUCAGAAACAGAGAGUGAACGAAAAGGAGUGGGGAUGGACUGAUCUGAUUACUACAAUAAUAAAUACCUAAAGUGUCUUAGCUUCAUUUGUUCUAUAUUAUUUUGAAAAAGGGAAAUCAAAAAAGAAACAGAGUUAAAGUUUUUUUUUGUCGGAGUUCAUUGCUUGAGCUUGUUUGGGUAUGAAUCGGUGUUGAUUUAAAUUUUCCGGUGCCGAUUUCUGAUCCCAUUUGAUUUUCUCUUUUCGGUGCCAAUUCGAGUUCCGUCGAGGUUCGAAUGUCAUCCGACGAGGUUCUAUCAUUUUGAGGUCUAUUUCUUCCUUCUGCUAUUUUGCUUAGUAUUAGGCUUUUAUUGUGUUAUCAUUUUGUUGUUGCUUUGUUUUGCUGAAGGUUAUCGUUUCCUUACUCUGUUUCAAUGAUUUCUUGCCAUUUGAUGCUCCAUUUCUUCUUGUUAAUUGGUUAUCCUCUAUUCUGAUGAAUGGUUAGAUAAGUUUAAUUGGUUAUUUCAAUUAUUCACUAAGAGAUAGAUGUUUAAGGGCAUAUUGAGUAACAUUUUGGUGAUUCCAGAGUUAAAUUAAUUUAUUAAUUGAAUUGGGUGAUGACAUAGAUAGUAAAACAAGUAUGUGGCCGAGGGAUUGGAUUGGAACUUAAAAGUUAAUUGAAAUAUUUUUACUACUCUUUUAAUUAAUUAAACAGUAAGGAGCAUGUUUAGGACGGCCGCACUUGGGUAGGCAAGCCUUAGUAUUUUUGUUAGUUUUGAGGCGAGAGGUCGUUCCUUUAGUUUAUUAUCCAGGGAAUGCCCCGUGAAAUUUUGUAUAUAUUUUUAUCCGGGGUAUGGCCCGUAGUAUUUGUAUUUGGAGACCGAAAAUAGAACUUGUAGUAUUCUUAAUUUAUUUUCAUUAUUUUUUUAUUUAGGUGGGGACGACCUCGAGCCUCUUUUGUGUUUAUUUUCCUUUUUGUAAUUUUACCUCAAUUUGAAUAUUUUAAAGGCCAACUAUAUCGAGUACUCAACCUUGACCUUCACGGGACUUGGGAAGUUCCUAACACCUUCUCCCCGAGUCAAAUGAAUCCCCUUACCCAAAUCUCUUGUGCGGACUUAGUUUUGGAGUCCAAAGUGUUUUAAAAGGAAAUUCUUUUUAAAAAACGGUGACCUGGCACAUCGAAACCAAUGUCAGGUGGCGACUCUGAGUUAUUUCCUUUUGAACACAAUUUUGUCACUUUUUAACUAAAAACCCUUUUGAGCUUUACAAUAUUCUUUUAUUAUUUUUAAGAGGGUUAAUGAAUUGGUAAAAAAAGGGGUGUGACAGCUCUGGCGACUCUGAUGGGGAGUUGCAGGUUCAAGCUGAUACUUGAUCUUGUUGGCUUUUAGAAUAUCCGAUUGAGGUGUUUAUGUUUUUCUUUAAGCUUUAUCUGACUUUUAUUAUGUUUUUAUACUUUGUUAUUAUUUGCUAGUUGUUUAUGUGAGUACAGUUUUCUUUUUAUAUGUUUACUGCUUUAUAACUGUCAUCAUUUGCAUAACCCCAGGUUUUCUUUAUGCAACAAGUCUUCUGGAGUACGUUUGAGCAUACACGGCCUUUUUGUGAGUCACCUGUGUCUUUAAGGGGGUGGCGUGGAGUGGGCGAACAGCUAGAGCAGCCGCCAUCGACCACGUGCCGCCCCGAAUUGCCUUGUCUAGUGAACCCCAAACGUAGGUCAGCUUUUAGGUCAUGCUUAUUUGCAUCAUAUCAUUUAAACCUAGAAGGGUUCGGUCCCAGGCACCGUGUCCCGUUGUAGGAGGUCUAUCCAAAUUAUGUCAAAAUGGGCUCAUGGCCUAAACGACAUUUAAUCAUCCCUAUGUGCUACAAGCUGCAUUCUUUUAGGGUAAGUGGGUCAUUUGGCGGACCAAUAAGAUAAAAAGAGGGUGAGGUAUAAAAUGAAGCAAGUAGGGCCUAAUUAUAUUUUUCUUUCACAACUUUUUCAAGAAAAGACCAAAAAAAUUUGAAAAAGAAAAAUCCAAAAAGUUUUUGCAGUUUCCCAUCAUUUUUCAAAAAUAAAAAAAAAAAAGAGAAAGAAAAUUCAAAAAAAAAAUUACAUUUUCCAUCAUUUCUCAAAAAGACAAAAAAAUAGUUUCUCCAAAUUAGUUGCAUUUUGUUUUAAAAAAAGAAGAAGCUUUUUCCCAUAUCCAAUCUUCCCAAACUACGCAUACCUAAUUCUCAUCUUUCGGGGCGGGAUACGUAGGCAGUCCACAUAAGAUCCGGUCUUCCUAGUGUCUUAGUUUCUUGGCUUCGCGGGGUCUUAGCCAAAUCUUGCAUGUCUAGCCACAUUUGGCUACAUUGGCUAUUUUUGCAAAAUAGGGCUAUUUUGAGAAGUGGCUUGUUGAACCGUGUAUGGAGAAUCUAGAAUCCACAAUUAGAUGUUUGUUUACUUCAAGGCCCAUUCCUUUUCAAUUUGCAUAUCUAGCCACUUUUGGCCACAUCGGUCAUUCUUGCAAAAUGGGGUCAUUUUCGCAAAAGUGGUUCAACGACCCAUGUCUUAGGAUUUUGAGUCCACAACUAGGUGUCAUAUUACUUUAAGGUUCGUUCUUUAUGAGUUUGCAUCUUUAGCCAUUUUUGGCGAUAUUGGCUGUUUUUACUAAAAUGGGUCAUUUCUGCAAAUUAAUUUUGGGCCAUGAUUAUCGAGAGUUUGAAUUCAUAUAAGCCUUAGUGAGGUAUAUUUUCAUGUCUUAGAGGUCACAUUUGUUGAGUUUGCAUUAAUAGCCACUCUUGGCAUGUAGGUUAAUUUUCAAAAAUAUCUUAAUCUUGUCUUGCAUGUGUCCAAUAAGAGGUGUGAUCUCACAUAGUGUCUCGAUUCAUUUAAUCUAUUUGGUCUUAUUUUUUUCAUUCAGGUAUGGAUUUAUUUACCAAAACUCGAGCACGACAGAUACCCCGGGACCAUCACAUUUGGGAGCUGUUUGAGGAGACUUUUUAUUUUUGAGUCUGUUUUAUAUUAUUUUUUUGCUUUCUAGUCUUGUAUGAUAGUAUUCAGUAUUUUAGUUGGUGUAACAGUUUGUCGUAGUAUAGUUGAGUUUGUUAAGUCUCGCAUCAUCAUAUUUCUUGUUUUGUAUUUGAAAAACCAAAAAAAGUUAUAAAUGAAAAAUUCUAAAAGAUUUUUAGUUUAUU
RNAcentral lists this long non-coding RNA (3863 nucleotides) under Nicotiana tabacum (common tobacco). RNAcentral describes it as "long non-coding RNA (NTAB_LNC010112)". The record is from RNAcentral. Lineage: Eukaryota; Viridiplantae; Streptophyta; Magnoliopsida; Solanales; Solanaceae.